RNAcentral lists this RNase P RNA (319 nucleotides) under Burkholderiales bacterium. Its description in RNAcentral is "RNase P RNA component class A". It matches the Rfam family "Bacterial RNase P class A". Rfam says of the family: Ribonuclease P (RNase P) is a ubiquitous endoribonuclease, found in archaea, bacteria and eukarya as well as chloroplasts and mitochondria. Its best characterised activity is the generation of mature 5'-ends of tRNAs by cleaving the 5'-leader elements of precursor-tRNAs. Lineage: Bacteria; Pseudomonadati; Pseudomonadota; Betaproteobacteria; Burkholderiales. RNAcentral also lists the same sequence under 1 other name. The record is from RNAcentral.
GAAGCUCACCAGACCGCCGCUGGCGCAAGUCCCGAAAGGGCGCGCUGGAGGAACGUCCGGACUGCACAGGGCAGCGCAGCAGCUAACGGCUGUCCACCGUGAGGUGAGGAUCAGAGCAACAGAGACGAGCCGAUUGAGUUCGGGUGAAACGGGCAAUCUCUGCGCGCAGCAACACCAAGUAGGCCAGCGUUGACUUGACCCGAGGAGCUGGCGGGUAGGUGGCACCGAGCCGUCCGGGCGACCGGCGGCCCAGAUUGAUGGCGGUCACGUGCCGGGCAACCGGUGCGCACAGAAUCCGGCGUAUCGGUGGGCUUCACUU